Long non-coding RNA from Chloebia gouldiae (Gouldian finch), 1579 nucleotides. NCBI's taxonomy places the organism in Eukaryota, Metazoa, Chordata, Aves, Passeriformes, Passeridae. The record is from Ensembl.
AGACUCCCAGAAACACGUCCAAAGAGGGAGAAUCUUUGGAGGACUGAAAACUGGACAAGUGUUGAGAAUCCAUCGUAAGAGGACACAGCUGAGAGAAGAGCAACUGAGAGGAAGGUGAGGCUCUGCCAUGUGCCCCAGGAAUAUCCUUGUGGUCAGAAACUGAGAGCAGGAAAGGGCAAAUAAAAACUAAGCCCUAACAAAAUCUUUGUGUUUGGGAAAGAUAACCCACAGGGGCCUUCUGAAGUUCUUUAUCUUUCCCAGCAAUGUCCCUUUAUCACAAGAGCUCCUUCCCUCCUCAAAAGACUUCCACCUCCCAGUGCUGCAAAACCUCUGUGUGCUCCUAACUCUGGCACUGGAGAUUUGGGGUUAGGCCACAUGAAGUUUCUGCAGGAUCUCUGCAAAAAGUGCUUUUCAAAUACCCUCCUUCCCUCCAUCUGAAGUCUCAGCUUCACCACUUUAUCAGCUGUAUUUUAUCCUGCUCCUGUGGUCUGUGCCUUCAGCAGGAGCUGGUGAAUCUCUCUGCUGACCACCACACCCCCACAGCCCUGGCUGAGCUCCCUGGGGUUGUCCCUGCUCACUGCUGGAUGCAAUUCCAAGUAGUACUUGUUUCUUCCUAUCGACCUCUUCUCAACACCCACCGGGGCUUUUUGCAGCUCCUCACAUUAAAAUAUCAAGAAAAACCUGAGUUUUUGCAAAGGGCUGGCAAAGGAUGCUCCAGGACCAUCAGUGCCUGCUGGCAACACUGCUGGUGAGGAACCAUGGGCAUUCUUGACACAAAUCCCUGAAUUCCACACUCCAGGCUGCUGAAUCACCUUGCAGAAGCAACAGGCUCCUCUUCCAAUCCCUGCUUGAGAAAAAGUCAACCUUUUCAGGAGGUAACAAGGAGUGUCAGCCACCCUGUCCUCCUCCUGGCUCUCCCUGGAGCCCUGAUUUAAAUGUGAGGAACACACUUUUUUCUUUUGGCUUGGAUCCACGAGCAGUUCAGGGAAAAAAAAAAGUUAAUUUUGGUGCUUUAUGGAUAGCUCUUAUCAGCUCACUCUUAAUGGCAUCUUUGCUCUCCAGUGAAAGGUUAAUAGCCAUAUUUGCCCAGCAUUCAUCAGAAUUAGAAUCCAGCUAAUCUCCAGGAUAAAUAACAAGAAGGCAGCAGAUGAGCCCAAAGGUGAAUCUGCCCAAGGAUAAAAGCCUCUUGUGAGCUGCUUCAGGGAAAAGCCUUCAGUAAUUCAAUGGCAAGGCCUCCAUGGCCACGGAAGGAGUCCCACACAAAGUCCUAAGGAUUUUUCUCCCUGCAAUAACAGCUGGUAAGAUGAUUGUGUCUUGUUUCCCAGGAGCUCUGUAGCAAUCAGCCUCCUCGCCCAGCACUCAGGGUGGAGAUUUACUUGUUCUCCACAGCUCAGGUGUCUCAUUUGACACGAGAUCCCAUCUCCUGCUCCAGCUGCCCAGACUGUGACUCCUCCUGUUUCCCCAUCAUUAUCUUCACCUAAAUGAACUUGCCCUGCUUUUGGCAAGGCAUCCCAUCCCCAGCCCCUUCCAGCUGGAGCAGACCCAAGGAAAUAAAUUCCUCUGUCCUCACCCUCCCUCA